UUAUAAGAGACAGCAGCAGCCGCGGUAAAACGUAGGUGGCAAGCGUUGUCCGGAAUUAUUGGGCGUAAAGGGCUCGCAGGCGGUUUCUUAAGUCUGAUGUGAAAGCCCCCGGCUCAACCGGGGAGGGUCAUUGGAAACUGGGAAACUUGAGUGCAGAAGAGGAGAGUGGAAUCCCACGUGUAGCGGUGAAAUGCGUAGAGAUGUGGAGGAACACCAGUGGCGAAGGCGACUCUCUGGCCUGUAACUGACGCUGAGGAGCGAAAGCGUGGGGAGCGAACAGGAUUAGAUACCCCUGUAGUCCCUGUCUCUUAUAA
RNAcentral lists this ribosomal RNA (314 nucleotides) under uncultured bacterium. RNAcentral describes it as "partial 16S ribosomal RNA". It matches the Rfam family "Bacterial small subunit ribosomal RNA", at positions 499 to 809 of the family's 1533-position model. The record is from RNAcentral.